Molecule: transfer RNA, 67 nt
Filed under: Cramptonomyia spenceri
Lineage: Eukaryota; Metazoa; Arthropoda; Insecta; Diptera; Pachyneuridae
Description: tRNA-Ala
Source: RNAcentral
AGGGGUAUAGUUAAAUUUAUAACAUUUAAUUUGCAUUUAAAAAUUACUAUCAUUUUAGUUUUCCUUA